CCGCCUGCGCCCUCCGCUCCCCCACGGGAGCGGCGCGAAGAGAAACUCCCUCUUCCCCACCCUCCGCCUUGCGGAGCCCCCCCUACCACCGCUCUCCUCGUGAGCCGCGACACAGAGGCGGCGGGGGCCCGAGCUGACGGCGACCCUCCGGCCACGCAGCCCCAGUGUCUUGAGUUACCCGAGGAGGGGGCCAGGCAGGCAGGCAGGCAGGGAGCGGGGGGGCGGAGGAGGAGGAGAAGGAGGAGGAGGAGGGCUGCGCGCGGCUGAAAGCCGCUCCUGCGAGAUGCUGCAAGCGCAGCUCCCCGCCGGAGGGGGGUAGCAGCCUCUGCCGCCGCCGGCUGCUGCCUGUGCGAGGGCUGUUGCCGCCGCUGGACGCAACCUCCUCCCGACAUGGAGCUGUCGCCGCCGCUGCUGGAGUGAGCGAGUGAGCGACGGGCGGAGCAGCCGGCCGCAUGGAUGGAUGUGUUUAGCUUUGUGAAGCUUGGGAAGCUCUCCGGGUGUAACAGUCCCAGCUCUCUCAGUCUCUCCUUGUAUGUCAGUGGAUCAUCUUCAUGGCCUGUUGCUGGACUGAUUCCACUGUGUUGUGCUUGUUUCAUACUGGGGAGCUGAGAACCAGACCCAGCACUGAAGAUGCAUCUCAUCAGGAAUGAAUGUAAGGAAAGGAUCUCCCCACUCGACCUGCUGCCGUCUCUCUUCCUAACAGCUCCAGUGUGAACAUUUCUGUAAACUGAAAUAUUCUAUAACACAGUUCAGUGCUUCUUGGGAGCCUUCCUUUUAGAGUUGCUUUGCCACAAACUGAGGUUGUGCUCUAUGAGCUUGCAGUGUUUUCCUUAGAUUGCCAUGCUGGUCUCAAGCUAUACGUUCACUCUUGGUAGCUGAGAGGAAUCUACAUCGGACUUAAUUUAUUUCCGUCAUUGCUUUCAUUUUUCUGUUACCAGCUUUCUUUUCCUUGGUCUUAACCCAUCUCAGAAAGCGAAGAAACAAACAUAUCUUAGCAAAAGUGAGAUUUACAGAAGUUUGCUCAGAACUGGGCAUUCAUUAAGAAAUUUGUCCAAAACAUUCAUUUUUAGAUGUAGAAGAGAAAGAUGCUUCUGUCAUUCCCUCUCCCAUUUUAUCGGGAAGAUCUAGGUGUUUGAUAAUUGCUGAAUAUUAUGAUAUUGGUGCUUUAAGUACUUUUAAUAAAUUAGCAAAUAUGAGGUGGAAUUGUUAUUAGUAUAUAAUCAGUACAAAUUAUGUAGAAUCUACAACAUUUACAAAAUGUUUGCUCAUUAAAUUCUGAGUAACGCUUUUCAAAGGACUGCAUUUUGAAAUCCAACAUACUUCGGUGGAAAUGUGAGAUAGAGAACUCAUUGAGGUGUGUACAUUUGAUAAAAACAAUUCCAUGUUUCUUACUGUAAUUUGCUUCAGUGUUUUUCUUACACCGAUACUUGCAAUUAGAGAAAUAAUUAGGACUUCUGGGAGAAAGCCCGUGAUAUGUUAGCUCCAUCAUACGGUGCUUAAAUAUCUGUCAUUUUGAUGAGCUACUCAGUUGUAAGAUUUGCUUGUUGGUUGCUCUGGUGCAAGUCAAAACAGCGUUAAUCACACACUGAUGUGCGGUUGUUGCUGAGCAGUAGGAGCACCUCUGGGCCAGGCUGGGAUGCUUGGGUGGGGUAGAGCUGCUCCCAUGAUGGUUCAGGGCAGAGGCAGGAUGGGGCCAGGGCAGUGCCUGAAUGAGGCUGGGGCCAUUGUGUGCCGUGUGACACCAGGCGGAGGGCCAUAAUGCUGUGGACAGUGGUGGGAGUGAGGCCUCGUGCUGGCAGGUAUCAUUCCUUCUACAUUUUGUUUCCUCAUGGCUCUUCAGUAUUUCUUCCUGUGCAGCCAGGGUAGUGCCCUGACAACAAGAUAGUUGCUUGGUAUUUCAUUUUGUCCAUGCUAUCUCUGUUUCACAUUACCUAGCACGUGCCUGCAUUCUGUAGUACAUACAGAAUCAUUUUUUUUCACAGUUGCUCUGUGACAUUCAUAUUGCAGUGUUUGCAUGCUCAAAAAUAUCAUGAAUUUAUUUUAUGUUUCUGUGCUGUAAGAUUAGACAGAUUUUUUUUUCUAUUUACAGUAUUGGAGUUGAAAAAUGAAAUGAUUAAGGCUGAAGCACUUGAACGUCUCAGUCUUCGUGUGCAGAGCAGGACAGGUAUCAUAGAAUCACAGAAUGGUUUGGGUUGGAAGGGACCUCAAAGCCCACCCAGCCCCUGCCAUGGGCAGGGCUGCCCCCCACCAGCUCAGGCUGCCCAGGGCCCCAUCCAACCUGGCUUUGAGCACUUCCAGGGAUGGGGCACCACAGCUUCUCUGGGCAGCUGUGCCUGCCCCCUGAGAAAAGUAGGCCUGUUUGGGUUUUUUUGGUUUUAUUUAUUUUUUUAAUGAUACUGGAUGUUUUUCUAGACCUUUUCAAUAAUAAGAACCUUUU
This 2437-nucleotide long non-coding RNA is filed under the name Gallus gallus (chicken). Lineage: Eukaryota; Metazoa; Chordata; Aves; Galliformes; Phasianidae. The record is from RNAcentral.